GCCCGGUAAGAGGGGACCCACCGUGGGGGGGAGGAGGGAGGUAAUUGACCAGACCUGAGGAGGUGGGACGGAGGGUCCACACCCAUUGCAGCACUGCCACUAGGUGCCCUCUCAUCCUCAGUGGAAGCCCCACUACAGGGGUACAGUGGCAGGACAGGGGAGGGCGUGGCGUAGAAGGGGGGAGGUGGCUUGGGACGCCCUUCUCUUCUUCACCUUACUGCCACACAGACCCCUCCUUCAGUUUUCCUCCUUUUAUUCUCUCCCUGCUUCCAUUUCUCCUUCUCUCUCUUCCCCAAAAGAAGUUUAAAAUAUUGUUUCAACAGCUCCCUGACAGUUCAGGACCACACCCCCCCAGCCCAAUCAGCUGUAACAUCUUCCUGGAUUCUCAACAGCCUGAGGGAAACGAUCCUGAUUCACUCCUGAACUGGACCAGGCCUGAGCACCCAGGAGGCCCCAUGUGCCCCACCUCGAUCUAGCAGCCUGAAACUUUCCAAGCCCCCCUGCAAAUCCAGGACCACAGCCCUCCAACCAAAUCAGCUCUAACUUCUUUCUGGAUUCUGAACAGCCUAAAGAGAACAAUUCCGAAGCACUCCUGACUUCACCUCAACUCACACAACCCCAGGCCCAUGUCUCGGGAUGUCUCCUGAAGCCUGGGAUUGGCUCUGAUGGCCACUUGAGCCACCCCUCCUCCUUCUUGCUCUCCAAAGAAAACCUGUUCUUCCUUCAAACACUGGAUUUAUGAAUAAAUGUUCAAAUCCCAUCUCCAACC
Molecule: long non-coding RNA, 769 nt
Organism: Ornithorhynchus anatinus (platypus)
Lineage: Eukaryota; Metazoa; Chordata; Mammalia; Monotremata; Ornithorhynchidae
Exons: 3
Source: RefSeq, a predicted model, not a curated record